AUACGGGGGGAGCAAGCGUUGUCCGGAAUCAUUGGGCGUAAAGGGCACGUAGGCGGUUUCUUAAGUCGAAUGUGAAAUCUCACGGCUCAACCGUGAAACUGCGUUCGAAACUAAGUGACUUGAGUUUGGGAGAGGUGUACGGAAUUCCUGGUGUAGCGGUGGAAUGCGUAGAUAUCAGGAAGAACACCAAUGGCGAAGGUAGUACACUGGCCUGAAACUGACGCUGAGGUGCGAAAGCGUGGGGAGCAAACAGGAUUAGAUACCCCAGUAGUCC
RNAcentral lists this ribosomal RNA (274 nucleotides) under uncultured bacterium. RNAcentral describes it as "partial 16S ribosomal RNA". It matches the Rfam family "Bacterial small subunit ribosomal RNA", at positions 523 to 796 of the family's 1533-position model. The record is from RNAcentral.